UUUUCCUUUUCUUUUUGUUCUGGAGUAUUUUGCAAAACUGAACAUGGAACUAUGGUACAUGGCUGGAAGUACCCAGGUACCCCAAGCUAGCUCUGAUUGAUGGAGUACCGAUCUGCAUCUUAUAGAGCAGGCUAUACUGCCAGAAAAGACCAUACCCCUUCCUAUAGUAAUGCUGCAGCUCUGAUUUCAUCACUUUCAUCAAAGAGUGAAAAAAAAAAAACCAAACCAAAGCCCAUCCUACACUCCAAUAACAGCAGUUUCGUUGAGCGAGAGGCAGCUCUUCCAUACCCUGAUCUCUGAUUUCAUGGAUCUUCCUCGGACUGGAUGAGUAAAACCUGUCUAGUCCCACUGAAAUCAGUGCAAUUGCUCUAGGUUUGAACUGGGAUAAUUUCAUAGGAAUUGGCCGGAGAAUAAUGUCUGGACCAUUUGAAGUCACUGGCAAAAUUUCCAUUAAUUUUAUUAGAAUCAGAAUCUGGCAAUAAGCUCAUAUUCAGCUUCCCAUCUGAAUAUUCCCAGCUGAAUAUUCUCAGCUGAGAAUAUUCAGGACAGAAUACAGUAUUUUCAGAAGUGGAGGCUACACUGAACCUUCAUGUCUCUGAAAGCAAGGUUACAGAUGUGUGUUUUAACUGCACCAGUGAAGGAACACUGUAAUGCUGGAUAUUUUAAAGCUUGUUUUGAUAGGAAAAAGAGCAUCUAUUAGGAGAUUUGAGCAUAGCAGUCAUAGGGAUGGGAGGGAAGAGUACAACUUUCUUUUGCAACUGUUUUUGGUUGGGUUUUCUUUUUUCCAGAUUGUGAAGACACUCAAAAUUUGAAAAUAAGGUUUCAUGUGAUAGCACAGACCCAACAUGCUCUUUUUGCUUUAGUGGAUCUCACUACCUUCAUGAAAGAGGUCUGUGUUUCCCAGGAAGGACUAAAGAAGGCAAUGUCCAGGGGAAGUUUUGUACUGCUGGUUCAUUUAUUCACUUUUCUCAACAUAGAGCAAUGGGGCUGCUUUUAUUAGAUGAGGAGACUAGGGCUCACUCCCAGAGAGGUGGUGAGCAACACACCUUUCCUUCUGUAAGGCAGUGUGGGAUACUUCUGGGAAAAUCCAGCUUCCGAGGAGUAGAGCCCAGUGCACAAGCACUGGGCUCGCCCUUGGUGAGCUGAGAGGGAUGCAGGACAUUUUGUUAUCCCUUAGGAAGGGCGUCUGGAGGUUGGGAGGAAGUGCAGAAGCCCUUAAGGUGAGUGAGGGACGUUUCGUAGGCAGGUAUUUAUCCCACACAUGCUGGGAAAAGAGAGCAGCCACUUCCCACAGACAUUCACUUCCCGGUUUCUGAGCUUGUUUGGGUGUAGCUCCUGUUGCUGUGUCCAGAAGAGCUUUGUAGCCUCGGCUUCCUGUUUUGACAAUGAGAGAGGGCAGUGUCCCAUUACACGGUUAUUGCUGAAGAAUGAACCUUUCCAUCCAAAGUGUCCGCUGCUUCUCUUGAAGAUAGGAAGAGAUGGUGCACAUUUAGCAACAGACAGUGUCAAACUCUGGAGUAGUUCUUGGGUAGCAGUCCCAGAGCUCUUGGGUUUCUGCUCCUCUGAUUCUCAAACAUGUAUCAACUUUACAUUUUUAAUCUGAAAUAGUGGUUACUGCAAUAAACAGUAGCUGUUACAACAGUUGGAAGCAUUCGGGCAUCUGAGGUUAAAGAAGUCUGAGGACAGGAACACACAGCAAACCUUCCAGUAGUUCCCUCUUAAGUUACUUUAUUCUAGAGGUAAAUUUCCUCAUGUAGGAGGGAAGCUAAUGCCCUCCUUGAGAAGUCAUUGCACCUUAUUAAGUUUAAGUGUUCCACUUUUUUCCCAGAAGUGCUUUCCAUAAUUGUAUGCUACUUAUGCCUGGGAAUGCCUCUUGCUUGUGGAUGUGAAUGCUUUACUGUGGGAUUCAGUUAAUGCUAUCAGAUCUACGAAAGUUACAGCAUCACUCAAAGACUCAAUGAGGCUGAAAAAGACUAGGUCUUCUUCCACAGGUCAAAUAUAGUGACUCUCUCAGAUAUUCCUGCCAUUUGAAAGGGCGAGUUUCCCGAAAGGAUUUUAGGACUUUGGAUGAGAGCUGCAUACCUAAUUCUCUGGAGGAGUGCCCAGGCUCUAUUCUACAACUGCUGCAGGCUGAGACACACACGUUUUAAGAGUUAACCAUAUAUUUCAGAGCUGCCGGCAGGAUUUUGGAUUUUUUGCAGCCAAUAAGCCUUCGCAGCAUAUCUGCGGUCCAAAACGCUAUCGUAACACGUAAUUUCACUCGAGUUUUCGCGUCAGAUCUUCAAAAAUGCUGCGAAUCCAGGUUUUUGGGUAUCGUGCGAGUCACCAGCUUUCCCUGCUCGUUACGGACAUCUGGUGGCAAAGUGGAGAAACUCGGGUCUGUUCCUCGAAGUUUCCAUCGUUGGCAAGUUAGCAAUAAGACAUUUAUUUUUCUUUGUCUCUCAGACAAACAAAUAAAAACUAAAAUCAAACAAAAAAAAAAAAGAAACCAACAAAAGAAACCAACUACCCCUAACCAAAAUAAGCUACACUCCCUCUAUAUAAUGCAAAAAGGUCUCCUCCCUCCCCUGGAUAAAUCCUUAUGUAAUUUUCUGUCCUUAAGCCAAACUUCAGUCUAUACUCAAUCCCACACCUGCUCAGUGCUUCAUGAAGAAAGUCUUUUAUACAUGACCAUGAACAGAGCCUAUACCUCACAGAAUAACCAUCUCAAGGUGUGGCAUGGUGCCAGCAAGGAUUAACUAUAGCAGUUAAUUUCUUCUGAUAGUGACAGUGUUUAGAUUAUAUGCAAUUAAAAGCUGUGCUACCUGUUUCUAGUCAAAGAGUAUUUACUGGAUUUUCAGUAUCUACUUUUAUCAAAUCAUUCCUUGCUCUUAUUUAAGCAAAUUAAGUUUCCUCAUUGUUUUAUGCAAAAGUUGCAAGGAGCAAGCAGUUCAAGGCACAUAAAGCACUGAAAGGGUAAAGAGGUAGUUCAAUUUAGCUGGAAGCCCUCAGAAUGAAAAGAGCCAAACAACAAAGCAAACAAAAAACCCCGAAAAAACAAAUAAAAAUUAGAGUUUUCAUCACAAUGCCUUAAAAUACACUACCUCUUCUGUAUCAUAAGGACAACUAUGCAAAAUCUUCAUAAAUCGUCCCAGGUACCGGGAUUACACAACCCUAGCAGAAUGAUAUACAUUAAAUUAAUUAUUUUUCAGGAUUAAUAAAAUACUGUUGAAUAGAGUGUAGAACUUACUAUUCUAGUGAUCCCUUCUCCAUCUCCUGAGCAUAGAAAAGUCACAACUUUGCAUUCACACCUUCCCUCUAGAUGAACCACUGGCUGUCAAAGUGCCUGUGACAAACGCAGGCUCCCAUGCUUAUGGGGUCAGCAAGGACACUGCAGUAAGGGCAGCUUUGGUCCCCACACUCAUUUUGCCAAAAAAAAUAGUUUGGUUUUUUUUUAAAGCAAUGUGGAAGAGAUGUCAGUAAUGACAUUUGCUUUCUAAAAAAAUCGCCAAACCCUAUGUUGUACAAUAAUGACAUAGCAGGAAUAAACUAUUUGCAGUGCUGCACUUGGAGAGGUUGAAAACGCAAACAUGCCUCCUAAUUUUAGUGUAUCGGUUUCCAAAGUCUGCUUGUGCAAUGAGAAAGGGUGGUUGAGUAUAAUCUUAGUUCAAAGAUUGAAGCAGGCUAAAAACAGCAUUUGCUAUGAAAGCCCAAAUUUUUCUUUUUGCUUGCUGAACGAACUUUAUCCACUGCAAGUAGAGGCAGUUGAAAAAUAGUAACAUCAUCUUAUUUGCACAUAGCAAACCACUACUCUCUUUACUCAGAAAUCUGAUCUAAAAAUAUGCAAUGGUAAUUUCCCAGAUCAGAACGCUUUAAAAAAUGGUUAUUAAUAUCAAUUCAAUAACAUGACGGGACUUCUAUCCCUGCAAAAGCAAACAGUUAAAAGUGAAAAAAGUCCCAGUAUGAGAUUCACAAACAAUUCCAACUCUGUUCCAAUACUGGCCACCAUCUUCAACCUUCCAAGGAUGUACUUAUGUAUGAACAAUUAUACCUUAAAUUUUAUUUGAAGUAUUAAGGGAAUCUGACCUGAAAUUGCUGCAAUUAAGAAAAUAUUAAUAUAUUACAUAAUUUAUAUUAUUUUUCUGGAUAUUUUCAUGGUUUGUUUGGGUUUUUUUUCAUUUUUUUCUUAGUGGUAUCUUAGAGAAAUAACUGAAUUUCUCCUGAACAAUGAAAACUAGAGAGGUGCCUGGCUGCAAGAAUGUGAAUGCUGCAAAAAGAAAUGACAAGAGGAGGAGAGGCCCUUACUCCAUCCUCAUCCUCUCCUGGUGUCAGCUGGUGAGCCAUCAGCCAGUGUCCCUCCAUGAGUGUUGUCUGGCAUACAGACUAGAAAAAAAGAACACCAGUGGUGGUAGCUCACAACACAAGGAUGAACAGUAAGACUCUGGUUUUAGCAAGUGGCACUUUGCAUUAGCCAUUACUAGAAUUAGUGCAUAAUCUCUACCUCAAGAUGGUAAGGAAAGGAUUCAGCUGUAUUUCCCACGUCAUGGUGCUUGGGUACUUGCUGCUCAUCCCUCUGGCUAUCCCUGUCAACAGAAGAGGAGGAUUGGGCAGUGUACUUUGCUGGAAGAAUUCCCUUCCACUUCUGCCUCGUCCUGCUUCCAGCUUUGAGCACACACAUCCCUCUGUGGCUGGUGUGCUGCAGAGAGGCACCUACAAUUGCUUCCUAGGGCUGAACACCUGAGCCUACUCACCUGCAGAAGUGCACAUUUCUAUACAGGCAACAGAAAAAGUGUGUAUUGGAGAUGCAAGGUCCUGGCCAUCACCUUCUGCCUUGGGUCAAAAAGGGAAAAAAAAAA
This 4835-nucleotide long non-coding RNA is filed under the name Taeniopygia guttata (zebra finch). RNAcentral describes it as "lncRNA (ENSTGUG00000023823.1)". Lineage: Eukaryota; Metazoa; Chordata; Aves; Passeriformes; Estrildidae. The record is from RNAcentral.